Molecule: long non-coding RNA, 2013 nt
Organism: Cololabis saira (Pacific saury)
Lineage: Eukaryota; Metazoa; Chordata; Actinopteri; Beloniformes; Belonidae
Exons: 3
Source: RefSeq, a predicted model, not a curated record
ACUAGGAAAUAAACAACUCGAACAGAAGCUGCAGGACUCAGACAAGUCAGACACAAAACUAUUUCCGUAGAUAGACAACUGUAAUUGUUUCCACCAGCCAGGGUCCACAUGGACUGUAACGUGCAGAAUCUCAGGCUUGUAGAUGGUUUAAACGAAGCUCUGGAGUUAAUAAGGAUGUCAGCACAACAGUGAGGCGACGUACAGAUACUCGCUGCUGAGGCGGAUGGAGGAUCAGCAGUCAGAUGUGACAGAGGAAGAUGGCGACAGGAGGCCCUGCGCGGUGGGAGAGGAGUCAGACGAGGAUCUAUUGGAAUAAGUCUCCUGCUCGGAUGCUGCUGGACUGACUGAAAAGGAGUAUAUCAUCAGUGGAUUAUAUGGUACAAAACUGCAUCAGUUAUUGUCUGCAGAUCUAUUGUUUUCUUUAUUCUAACAUCCAUCAGCUGGGACGUUGGGUUCAACAAAUGUAUCAAAGUAUUGAAUUCAAUACAGUUUGAGACGAUAAUAUGCUGCAAAUUGUUUGAAAAAAUGUAAUAAUCUUUUUAUUUUUUUCCUUUAAAAUUUAACUUGUGGCCAAUUGAUUUUAAAUAAGAGUUAUUUAUUAACUCCCUAAGGGACUAUUACACAGACUGGUGGCAUCUGCACUGGGCCUUCUGCUUGUGGAUUUAUCAUCUCUUUAAAUUCUUGCCGGAGUAUUACCUCCUUGUGUUUGAUGCAAUGUAUUCAUCUUCAUUUGCUUGAUCGCUGACCCUGAUGCAGAUCGGUAUUCGCAGAGGCCACAUAGAGCACAAUGCUUUUAGAGAAGCAUCACGCUGUUGAUAAGCAUCUUUCCUUGCCCUGGUUUUCACCUCUCAGACAGACGUAUGGGCUUCUGCUGGACCUAUGAAAAGUGAACGUUGCACCAGUCACUAGUAAUAAAAAAAAAGUUAAAAGUCUAAUUUAAUUAAGAAAAAAAUGAAGCAGAGAGCAACAUGAUAGCCAACAGACUACUUCAACAGCACAUACAGCUUAUAAAUACAAUUCCACUAUCAGUGGGAAAGCAAUAAAAGGGGGGAAAGCAACAAUAUAAUAGGACAGAUGACUAUCUUUGCCUUGAUUUCACCCUCCUUUUCUUGAUAAAAGAACUUUCACCUAUAGUACCUCCUUGGGUUUGAUGCAAUAUAAUUUUGAUGCUGAUAAAAUGACACAGGAAGACCAUUUCUCCCUCAACAUCUCUUAAGGUCAUUUUAGCUGCUACGGGGUUGAACCCCAGUGGCAUUGUAAGCCACCAGCGGUGUCACUCACAGAAAAGAUCAGCACCGCUAUGAGCACACUGCAGCAGACGUGCAGAAACAGACAGCAGCCCGAUGUCCUUUGGGAUGAAAGUGAUGCCUUAUGUCUAACAACAUGGUAACUUUGAUUGCUGAUGAUUUCAGCUUCUCGUUAGAUAAAGGGUUAGCUUUUCCGAUGCUGGCUAAAAUACGAUUUACUGCAAACCCCAUUUGCACCAAUGGACAAAGCCUAGAAUUCAAACAAAAUAAAAAUGCUCAAAAUCCAAAGAAUUUGUCUGUUAAUAUCACAAAAUGAUAACUUGUUUCUGCGUGGAAUAGCAUGCCUCGAGUGAAUAAUUCAAAACCAGAAUGUUUUAUAGGAGCAUUAUUUUCCUGGCAGUGUAAUAAAUGCCAUUAAUUAGCAAGUGGGUCCUUAUAAAUGUGUACCUUGAGAUUCAUGCAGUAUUAGCUUGAAUCUGAACAAGUGUGCUGCAGACGAGUGUGUAACAUCCAGCAAUAAUGAAAUAAGCAGUUGUCACACAGUAUGACAUGGAGAUGAGACAUUUCAGAUAUUUUAAACAAGCUAAUUGAUCUUCAGCUAAAAAUAGUCACGUUCAGGCUGGAGCUAUCUACCAAUUGGCUACCUCUCUCUGUAAUGAUUUCCCCUUUCAUGCUAACAUUAACCCACUUAAGGUCAAUUUGCAGUAGAGCUCAGAGUCCAAUGACUCUUAAAUAGACAUAUAGGUCUGCAUGGUGUAAAUAAAGA